RNAcentral lists this ribosomal RNA (274 nucleotides) under uncultured bacterium. RNAcentral's name for it is "partial 16S ribosomal RNA". It matches the Rfam family "Bacterial small subunit ribosomal RNA", at positions 523 to 796 of the family's 1533-position model. The record is from RNAcentral.
AUACGGAGGGUGCAAGCGUUAAUCGGAAUUACUGGGCGUAAAGCGCGCGUAGGCGGCUGAUUAAGUCGGAUGUGAAAUCCCUGGGCUCAACCUAGGAACUGUAUCCGAUACUGGUCAGCUAGAGUUUUGGAGAGGUAAGUGGAAUCUCCGGUGUAGCGGUGAAAUGCAUAGAGAUCGGAAGGAACACCAGUGGCGAAGGCGACUUACUGGCCAAAAACUGACGCUGAGGUGCGAAAGCGUGGGUAGCGAACAGGAUUAGAAACCCUAGUAGUCC